Molecule: non-coding RNA, 1483 nt
Organism: Coturnix japonica (Japanese quail)
Lineage: Eukaryota; Metazoa; Chordata; Aves; Galliformes; Phasianidae
Source: RefSeq, a predicted model, not a curated record
GGCUGGGAGCUUGGGAAUAGCCUUGAAAUAAAUAGAAAAAGGAGGCUUGUUUCCUGAAAUCAAGGGGGUUGGAACUACAUGAUCCUUGAGGUCCCUUCCAACCCGGGUCAUUCUGUGAUUCUGUGUGGGUCAGGAUGACUCGCUAUAGCAAUGUGCUUCUCUUAAAGUUACUCGCUUUUUCAUGAAAAGGGGAAAAAUAAGGUGAAUUUGAAUAGGAGCCGUCUGAGAUGGAGCAGCCUGUGUUUGCCAAAGGCUUUUGCAGCGUUGGGAUGUGAACAGCGUGUGGUGACGUAGGGCAGGUACAAGGUAUUCCAUCAUGAAGUUUCUCUUCAGGGAACAGAAGUUCCAACUAUUCAGCAUCCCUUCUUUUACACGGCCUACUUUAAACCUGACACGAUGCAAUGUGCUCAAAGAAGACAGUGUUAUCGUUGUUGGCUCUAACACAUCAAAACAACAGUCUUGAAAACUUAUGUCUAAGCAUCCUGGUUUGUUAAGUGUGUAGCCGCAUCCAUCCCCACAUCCGGUGUCAGUCUUCUUCUCCUACCUGCUCAUACACAACCUGUAAACAGUGACACAAUCCCUCUGUGGAAAGAACUCUGCAUUCUUUCAAGUCUGCUGGCAGUGACUCUGAGGGACGGAGCUUAUCGUGGGCAUCGAGGCCAUACUAAUGCCUACCCACACAAACACACAGAGGAGGAAGCCUUUGAUUUCUCAGCACCCACUACUGCCUGAAACAGCACUGCGGGUCCUUACACCUCCAUGAGUCAACACUUCCCUUUCCGGAGGUACUACAGUUGUUCCCUUCUCAACUGCAGCACAAAGAACCACCCAGCCAGCAGCCAAACCCAUAACGUCCACAGUAGCAGCAACGGCCUGGGAAGAACCACCCCCUCCUACCCCUCUCCAAUGAGGUUCCACCAUUCAGUGGUUCAUCAGUUCACAAAAGCUGUUUGCUCGAAUCCAGGUGAGACAAAUGUAGGUUGGUCAUCACUUUCCUCUCCAGUACAUCCAGCAGACAACACACACACUUGUCCUCUCCCAUUGCAACCAGCAGCAGUGCAUUAACAGCCCCUCGCACACAAGGUCACAGCAAACAUGCGCUCUUACCGAACUGUGGUGGGGGAAAAGACUUCAGUUCUUUUGCUGCAGGUUCCUGGGAACGAGGAAUGCCAAACAGCAAACAUUUACUGUCCCCCAUAUCACUUACCUGCUUGAUGUUGUCAACAGCGAACAUGUAGAACGGCUGUCAUGAAAUAACAUCCCUAUGAAAGAGCGACCUCAAUGUUAUUAGGACACGUAAGACCAGCCAGAAGCAUUUCAUCCUUACACCUUUCCACCUUUCUGUGGCAGUCAGGGCAGGUGCACCCACAAACACCAUCAUCUCCCUGUACCACAGAACUCCCACCUCCAUUUCCGGGUCUGGACAGGCAAUUUUAAACAAAAACAAAACAAAACCAAAAACCAACCAAAAAAGAACCAAUUA